CAUGUAGAGUACUAUUUGACAGGUAGCCAGACAGAAGGAAACUAAAAUUUCGCUUAUUAUCGAAACGGGAAAUAAUUAAGAAACAAUCACUUCUUAAUUCCGCUGAAAUACAGUACAGUAUGUGCACCGGCAUCCACCUGCAUCACAAUCACCAACCGCGCCAGGGCCGACGUUGGUUUGACAGUUGUGAAGACACGUCUUGGGGUUACACGGCCCAAGGAUGACAGGGGUCUGAUGGCAGUCUUCAGGGAUUAGCGAGC
Molecule: long non-coding RNA, 260 nt
Filed under: Hordeum vulgare
Lineage: Eukaryota; Viridiplantae; Streptophyta; Magnoliopsida; Poales; Poaceae
Description: long non-coding RNA (HVUL_LNC006303)
Source: RNAcentral